RNAcentral lists this ribosomal RNA (565 nucleotides) under Didymella glomerata. RNAcentral's name for it is "eukaryotic LSU rRNA". The stretch from base 195 to 348 matches the Rfam family "5.8S ribosomal RNA". Lineage: Eukaryota; Fungi; Ascomycota; Dothideomycetes; Pleosporales; Didymellaceae. The record is from RNAcentral.
GGAAGUAAAAGUCGUAACAAGGUUUCCGUAGGUGAACCUGCGGAAGGAUCAUUACCUAGAGUUGUAGGCUUUGCCUGCUAUCUCUUACCCAUGUCUUUUGAGUACCUUCGUUUCCUCGGCGGGUCCGCCCGCCGAUUGGACAAUUUAAACCAUUUGCAGUUGCAAUCAGCGUCUGAAAAAAACUUAAUAGUUACAACUUUCAACAACGGAUCUCUUGGUUCUGGCAUCGAUGAAGAACGCAGCGAAAUGCGAUAAGUAGUGUGAAUUGCAGAAUUCAGUGAAUCAUCGAAUCUUUGAACGCACAUUGCGCCCCUUGGUAUUCCAUGGGGCAUGCCUGUUCGAGCGUCAUUUGUACCUUCAAGCUCUGCUUGGUGUUGGGUGUUUGUCUCGCCUCUGCGCGCAGACUCGCCUCAAAACAAUUGGCAGCCGGCGUAUUGAUUUCGGAGCGCAGUACAUCUCGCGCUUUGCACUCAUAACGACGACGUCCAAAAGUACAUUUUUACACUCUUGACCUCGGAUCAGGUAGGGAUACCCGCUGAACUUAAGCAUAUCAAUAAGCGGAGGA